RNAcentral lists this ribosomal RNA (1365 nucleotides) under Godronia ribis. RNAcentral describes it as "LSU rRNA". It matches the Rfam family "Eukaryotic large subunit ribosomal RNA", at positions 75 to 1888 of the family's 3401-position model. Lineage: Eukaryota; Fungi; Ascomycota; Leotiomycetes; Helotiales; Godroniaceae. The record is from RNAcentral.
UUACCUCAGUAACGGCGAGUGAAGCGGUAACAGCUCAAAUUUGAAAUCUGGGUCUUUUAGGCUUGAGUUGUAAUUUGUAGAAGAUGCUUCGGGUGUGGCCCCGGUCUAAGUUCCUUGGAACAGGACGUCAUAGAGGGUGAGAAUCCCGUAUGUGACUGGGUGCUUUCGCUCAUGUGAAGCUCUUUCGACGAGUCGAGUUGUUUGGGAAUGCAGCUCAAAAUGGGUGGUAUAUUUCAUCUAAAGCUAAAUAUUGGCCAGAGACCGAUAAGCGCACAAGUAGAGUGAUCGAAAGAUGAAAAAGCACUUUGGAAAGAAGAGUUAAACAGUACGUGAAAUUGUUGAAAAGGGAAGCGCUUGCAAUCAGACUUGCAUACCGUCAAUCAUCCAGGGUUCUCUCUGGUGCACUUGGGCGGCGUUCAGGCCCAGCAUCGGUUUCGGGGGGUGGGAUAAAGGCCUUGGGAAUGUAGCUUCUUUCGGGAAGUGUUAUAGCCCCUCGGUGCAAUGCCGCCUCCCCGGGACCGAGGACCGCGCUUCGGCUAGGAUGCUGGCGUAAUGGUUGUAAGCGACCCGUCUUGAAACACGGACCAAGGAGUCUAACAUUUAUGCGAGUAUUUGGGUGUUAAACCCAUAUGCGGAAUGAAAGUGAACGGAGGUAGGAACCCUUAAGGGUGCACUAUCGACCGAUCCUGAUGUCUUCGGAUGGAUUUGAGUAAGAGCAUAACUGUUGGGACCCGAAAGAUGGUGAACUAUGCGUGAAUAGGGUGAAGCCAGAGGAAACUCUGGUGGAGGCUCGCAGCGGUUCUGACGUGCAAAUCGAUCGUCAAAUUUGCGUAUAGGGGGCGAAAGACUAAUCGAACCAUUGUUGCUAGGUGGUUAAGAGGGGGGUGUAAUUACACCACUAGUCCAGGUCAUGGGCAACGCUAUCAAAUUGUUCGGGGGACGUCCUGUUUUAAAUUCUAAGCUACCCGCUCUCCUCCUUCGAAAGAGGGGUUUGCACCUGGGUUAACGGGCCACGGGUAUGGUAACAAACGUUUAGAUAGGGAUAACCCGCAGCCCAAGUCCUAAGGGCAUUUAGCCUAUGGAAUGCCAGUUCACAGACUAAAUGUUUAGUGGGUUCGGUACUUCUGUACUGGGCUUAAGUUAUAGUCGAUCCGCUGGGAGACCAGUCGAUAUGGUAUAGUAUAUAUGUUUAGACCGCUCUUUAGAGAGUUACCUAUAUAUAAAGGCCUAUCGGGGGUUCUUUAAUUAGACCCUGGGGGAGUUUUAGAGAUUGUAGUCCCAUAUGUUUAGGAGAAGACUCGAGAGCCGAUACGUGGUCAUGUUGGGCCGUUGGUAAAUCGAGGACAUGUGGGGAAUAUAUCUGCU